CCUACGGGAGGCAGCAGUGAGGAAUAUUGGUCAAUGGGAGAGAUCCUGAACCAGCCAAGCCGCGUGAGGGAAGACGGCCCUAUGGGUUGUAAACCUCUUUUGUCGGAGAACAAAACCCGGGACGUGUCCCGGACUGCGUGUAUCCGAAGAAAAAGCAUCGGCUAACUCCGUGCCAGCAGCCGCGGUAAUACGGAGGAUCCGAGCGUUAUCCGGAUUUAUUGGGUUUAAGGGGUGCGUAGGCGGUCCGUUAAGUCAGGGGGAAAAUUGCGGGGCUCAACCCCGUCGAGCCGUUGAAACUGGCAGACUUGAGUAGGCGAGAAGUACGCGGAAUGCGCGGUGUAGCGGUGAAAUGCAUAGAUAUCGCGCAGAACUCCGAUUGCGAAGGCAGCGUACCGGCGCCAGACUGACGCUGAGGCACGAAAGCGUGGGGAUCGAACAGGAUUAGAUACCCGGGUAGUC
RNAcentral lists this ribosomal RNA (459 nucleotides) under uncultured bacterium. Its description in RNAcentral is "partial 16S ribosomal RNA". It matches the Rfam family "Bacterial small subunit ribosomal RNA", at positions 338 to 795 of the family's 1533-position model. The record is from RNAcentral.